This 409-nucleotide ribosomal RNA is filed under the name uncultured microorganism. RNAcentral's name for it is "bacterial SSU rRNA". It matches the Rfam family "Bacterial small subunit ribosomal RNA", at positions 9 to 419 of the family's 1533-position model. The record is from RNAcentral.
GUAGUUUGAUCGUGGCUCAGAUUGAACGCUGGCGGCAGGCCUAACACAUGCAAGUCGAGCGGAUGAAGGGAGCUUGCUCCUGGAUUCAGCGGCGGACGGGUGAGUAAUGCCUAGGAAUCUGCCUGGUAGUGGGGGAUAACGUCCGGAAACGGGCGCUAAUACCGCAUACGUCCUGAGGGAGAAAGUGGGGGAUCUUCGGACCUCACGCUAUCAGACGAGCCUAGGUCGGAUUAGCUAGUUGGUGGGGUAAAGGCCUACCAAGGCGACGAUCCGUAACUGGUCUGAGAGGAUGAUCAGUCACACUGGAACUGAGACACGGUCCAGACUCCUACGGGAGGCAGCAGUGGGGAAUAUUGGACAAUGGGCGAAAGCCUGAUCCAGCCAUGCCGCGUGUGUGAAGAAGGUCUUC